Molecule: ribosomal RNA, 253 nt
Filed under: uncultured bacterium
Lineage: Bacteria
Description: partial 16S ribosomal RNA
Rfam family: Bacterial small subunit ribosomal RNA
Source: RNAcentral
UACGGAGGGCGCAAGCGUUGUUCGGAAUCACUGGGCGUAAAGCGCGUGUAGGCGGCUUUGCAAGUCGGAUGUGAAAUCCCGAGGCUCAACCUCGGAACUGCACUCGAUACUGCUUGGCUCGAGUCCCGGAGAGGUUGGCGGAAUUCCCGGUGUAGGGGUGAAAUCCGUAGAUAUCGGGAGGAACAUCAGUGGCGAAGGCGGCCUCCUGGACGGUGACUGACGCUGAGACGCCAAAGUGUGGUGAGCAAACAGG